AGUUCACAAUUAAACGAUUCGAAAAAAGCUCUAAAAGGUCCUGUAAGAGUAUGGUACUUUCACGGGUCGUAAGUUAAGGACAACCAAAUCCCACUUGAAAUGGUUUGUUUAAUUUUUGGAAGCAACACGUUUACUUGCAAAAAUAAAUAUGAUCUAGAGAUAAGCAAUAUAAAAGUAAACUUUUUGCCACUACGCUACUCACUUGCCACAUAAGCUGAAAAACAACAUGAGGGCUAGUUUUUUGAUCUUUUUAUUUGGUUGCGUAUCUCCUUUCGUUGGAAUUCAGGCUGCCAAGACUAUAACAAUUAGUUCACCGUCAUGUAAGUUAAACACCGUUAUCGAAGUACCAACGACGAAGUGCUGCUGUGCCACACCAACGAUUGCUCCUCCACUUAGUCCGCCUGUGUGUAAGUCCUCGAAGAUCGCAGAUAAGACUUAAUCAUUACAUAUUUUUCUCCUUUUUUUCAGCUAAGAAUACAGUAGGAUGUCCAUCGAGGUUUAAAUACGGUCCGCCCACCUGUGUCGUUGCGAGUCCAUAUAAGUACCGUGGAUCCGAAUGCAGUUCAUACUUUCAAUGUACCGGACCUAAUAAAAGUAAAGAAACAGUUUGUGAUCUAUCUACGUUUAGCGAAAAGCAGCAAGCUUGCGUCCCACAUCCUACAAACUUCAAACUGUGCUGUGUCGAAUAGAAGUUGGGUAUUUACGCAAUCGUACUUGCUCAGCAGCAAUCGACAUCCACAUCUUGGUUUUUGUUCUUUUUAGUGUCUUGUAAUCAUUAUCAAUAAAUAUAUAGAUAAAGAACU
Long non-coding RNA from Photinus pyralis (common eastern firefly), 803 nucleotides. RefSeq lists it as uncharacterized. The transcript is spliced from 4 exons. NCBI's taxonomy places the organism in Eukaryota, Metazoa, Arthropoda, Insecta, Coleoptera, Lampyridae. The record is from RefSeq and is a predicted model, not a curated record.